GAUGAACGCUGGCGGCGUGCCUAAUACAUGCAAGUCGAGCGAACGGACGCGAAGCUUGCUUCUCUGAUGUUAGCGGCGGACGGGUGUGUAACACGUGUAUAACCUCCCUAUAAUACUGGGAUAACUUCGGGAAACCGUAGCUAAUACCGUAUAAUAUUUUGAACCGCAUGGUUCAAAGGUGAAAGACGGUCUUUCUGUCUCGUAUAGAGGGAUCCCCGCUGCAUUAGCUAGUUGGUAAGGUAACGGCUUACCAAGGCAACGAUGCGUAGACGAACUGAGAGGGUGAUCGGCCACACGGGAGCGGAGACACGGUCCAGACUCCUGCGGGAGGCAGCAGUCGGGAAUGUUCCGCAAUGGGCGAAAGCCUGACGGAGCAACGCGGCGUGAGUGAUGACGGUCUUCGGAUCGUAAAACUCUGUUAUGAGGGAAGAACAUCUGUGUCAGUAAAUGUGCACAUAUUGACGGUACCUAAUAAGAAAGCAACGGCUAACUACGUG
Molecule: ribosomal RNA, 497 nt
Filed under: uncultured bacterium
Lineage: Bacteria
Description: partial 16S ribosomal RNA
Rfam family: Bacterial small subunit ribosomal RNA
Source: RNAcentral